CGGCACCGGUACUCCUCCGAUCCCUUUGACCGGGGCCUGGUCUCGGACCAAUUGUUCCUCGGGAAUUCCCAUCUGCUGAAAGACCCGGUAUGGCAGCAGAUUCACCUUGCUCCCGUCAUCCACCAAAAUCUUCUUCACCCUGUAAUUGUGAAUAACGGCUUCAAUGACAAGGGCAUCGUCAUGGGGCAUCUGAAUGCCCUGAGCAUCCUCCGGGGAGAAAGUGAUGGUUACUGGGGAGUGCUCGACGACCUGCAUAACCUCGGCACUGCUACUUUCUCCCUCUCUACUCCUCUUUUUUCCCCUUCGGCUCAUCCGACCGCCUGUGCCUCUAACGAUCAUGUUGAUGGUUCCACUGGACCCAUCAUUCACUGGGUUAGCUCCCGUUCUCCUCGGCGCUUGAACCGCCG
RNAcentral lists this long non-coding RNA (407 nucleotides) under Manihot esculenta (cassava). RNAcentral describes it as "long non-coding RNA (MESC_LNC004551)". The record is from RNAcentral. Lineage: Eukaryota; Viridiplantae; Streptophyta; Magnoliopsida; Malpighiales; Euphorbiaceae.